Long non-coding RNA from Mauremys reevesii (Reeves's turtle), 444 nucleotides. RefSeq lists it as uncharacterized. The transcript is spliced from 2 exons. NCBI's taxonomy places the organism in Eukaryota, Metazoa, Chordata, Testudines, Geoemydidae. The record is from RefSeq and is a predicted model, not a curated record.
GACGCGCCUCUGUUACCAUGGUGACCGCGAGCUCGGCGGGGCCUAGGCGAGGCGAGGCGGACACCCGGCGGCGGGCGGGGCUUUGCCGCGGAGGCGGGCGGGGCAGCGUCCCUCCACCUGUAGCUCGGCAGGCAGCUCGCAGCGCGGCGAGUCAGGGGAAAAUGGCAGCAGCAGAGAUGCUCUGGUGUUUUGGUGGAAAGGUGAAGAUCCCAAGUCCUGGAAAGACCCUGGAGUGUUAUGCAAGGUUCACUCUGAGUAAUCACAGAUUAAAUCCCAACAAGGAAGGCUGCUGUUAUGGUUAAAGCACUUGUCUCAGCCUCAGGAGAUCACGCUUCACUUCCCAUCUCUGCCAUGGGUUUUCUGUGUGCCUCAGUUCCCUAUUUGUAACAUAGGGAUAAUACUACUUUCUGUCUUGAUUCCUCAGAUUAUAGACUCUUUCAGGAA